Long non-coding RNA from Cydia pomonella (codling moth), 1121 nucleotides. RefSeq lists it as uncharacterized. The transcript is spliced from 3 exons. Lineage: Eukaryota; Metazoa; Arthropoda; Insecta; Lepidoptera; Tortricidae. The record is from RefSeq and is a predicted model, not a curated record.
CAAGGGCCUGACACUCUUUGAUAGAGAAAGAUAGUCUUAUUGCGAUUCCUAUAAGAGGAAAGAGAAAAUAGUGCAAUGCUUUGUCUUUAUCACCGACCGGGUUUUUUUUCAUGGUCGGGUUAUGGCAGCUUAGGAAGGAGGCUGAUGGCGAUAUACAGAAAUUUAUAAGAGUGAAAGAGACAAAAUCCCGCAAGAUGCCAUACAUUAAACUGUCAAUCAUAUUGUCGAGAGUGCUAGUAAACAAUGUGGUUUUCUUAUUGUAGAAGUUUUAUAAAGGGAAUGAUUGUGUUUAUUAAGUAUUUAAUGGAGGUGUAAGAAGUUUUUACGUACAAUUAACAUGGUGGGGGUGUUCAGUGGUUGCCUACAAAAGCAAUAGCUUGCGAAAAUAAGCGGGUGUAACAUUUCAUGCCUUUCCGACGGAGGAUGAAAUUGUUAAAGAAUGGAUUGCGGGAGCUGGAAAAUCAAAUUGGAUGCCACACAAAUACUCGCGUAUUUGUUCCAAACAUUUUGAACAACAUUGUGUCCCCAAACUGGGCAAACGAACUUUCAUCGAAAAGUUUUCUUUUCCAACCUUGUUCAUACACGAGAGGAGAGAGAACAUUCUUUUCUUCAUCAUGUCAUGGAAAUCGUCCAUUCGUGCACGUCGUCGUCGUGGCAGUCUCAACAGCAUUCUGAAGCUAUUAUUGAACUUCAUAUAAUUGAUCCACAGGUUACAAGUGUAUGUGUAAAUAAAGUUUUCUUGACCCCCACAGUAUGUACAACGCGCAACACGUAAGAUUUUUUAUUUAAACAUAAUUAUUCGGUUUUAAGUAACAGUUUUAAUGUAAAUGACUAUGUUAGCUUAAAAUCAUAUACUGCGUAUCUACUGAGGUGUCGCUCAAGCACACCGUCAAGAACCUUCGCUGCAAUAGGGUUGUUUCCAUUUUGAAAUGCUUGUAUUAUAUAAUAUAUAUAUAUAUAUAUAUAUUUACCAAAUUAUGGCCUAAAAUUCAAUUUAUUUGUGUUGUUCUCAAGUAAAAGGUACCACAUUGUCGCUUAUCAUAAGAACGCUCUUACAGGUUGUACGUAUAGAGAGCAAGCAAAUUGUAUCCUUAUGGUAAGCGACUAUGUGGUACCUUUUA